RNAcentral lists this ribosomal RNA (278 nucleotides) under Glomeromycota sp. RNAcentral describes it as "partial small subunit ribosomal RNA". It matches the Rfam family "Eukaryotic small subunit ribosomal RNA", at positions 569 to 852 of the family's 1831-position model. Lineage: Eukaryota; Fungi; Glomeromycota. The record is from RNAcentral.
AGCAGCCGCGGUAAUUCCAGCUCCAAUAGCGUAUAUUAAAGUUGUUGCAGUUAAAAAGCUCGUAGUUGAAUUUCGGGGUCAGUAGGUUGGUCGUGCCACAGGUAUGAACUGGCCUCACUGAUUCCUCCUUCCUGAUGAACCGUAAUGCCAUUAAUUUGGUGUUGCGGGGAGACUGGACUGUUACUUUGAAAAAAUUAGAGUGUUUAAAGCAGGCUAACGCUUGAAUACAUUAGCAUGGAAUAAUGAAAUAGGACGUUCGGUCUUAUUUUGUUGGUUUU